Molecule: non-coding RNA, 204 nt
Filed under: Oxalobacteraceae bacterium IMCC9480
Lineage: Bacteria; Pseudomonadati; Pseudomonadota; Betaproteobacteria; Burkholderiales; Oxalobacteraceae
Description: Bacterial small subunit ribosomal RNA
Rfam family: Bacterial small subunit ribosomal RNA
Source: Rfam by way of RNAcentral
AGCUAACGCGUGAAGUAGACCGCCUGGGGAGUACGGUCGCAAGAUUAAAACUCAAAGGAAUUGACGGGGACCCGCACAAGCGGUGGAUGAUGUGGAUUAAUUCGAUGCAACGCGAAAAACCUUACCUACCCUUGACAUGGCUGGAAUCCUUAAGAGAUUAGGGAGUGCUCGCAAGAGAACCAGUACACAGGUGCUGCAUGGCUG